UACGUAGGGGGCGAGCGAUGCCCGAAUUUACUGGGCGUAAAGCGCACGUAGGCGGCUUCGUAAGUCUGGUGUGAAAUCUCACGGCUCAACCGGGAGGCUGCACCGGAUACUGCGAAGCUCGAGGACGGGAGGGGAGAUUGGAAUUCCCGGUGUAGCGGUGAAAUGCAUUGAUAUCGGGAGGAACACCAGUGGCGAAAGCGGAUCUCUGGGCCGUAGCUGACGCUGAGGUGCGAAAGCUGGGGGAGCGAAAGGG
RNAcentral lists this ribosomal RNA (253 nucleotides) under uncultured bacterium. Its description in RNAcentral is "partial 16S ribosomal RNA". It matches the Rfam family "Bacterial small subunit ribosomal RNA", at positions 524 to 776 of the family's 1533-position model. The record is from RNAcentral.